UUACUUUGGUGACAUGUAACAGUACUAAAAUUGGAAUGAUACAGAGAAAAUUAGUAUGGCCCCUGUGCAAAGAUAAUUCCAUAUUUUCUUCCCUAGCCCACUGCUUU
This is a small nuclear RNA of Hemicordylus capensis (graceful crag lizard), 107 nucleotides long. NCBI's taxonomy places the organism in Eukaryota, Metazoa, Chordata, Lepidosauria, Squamata, Cordylidae. The record is from RefSeq and is a predicted model, not a curated record.